Molecule: transfer RNA, 77 nt
Filed under: Gammaproteobacteria bacterium
Lineage: Bacteria; Pseudomonadati; Pseudomonadota; Gammaproteobacteria
Also listed under: 2 other names
Description: tRNA-Arg
Rfam family: tRNA
About the family: Transfer RNA (tRNA) molecules are approximately 80 nucleotides in length.
Source: RNAcentral
GCCCUCGUAGCUCAGCAGGAUAGAGCGCACCCCUCCUAAGGGUGAGGUCACACGUUCGAAUCGUGUCGGGGGCACCA